CCACGGGUGAGUAACACGUAUCCAACCUGCCGUCUACUCUUGGCCAGCCUUCUGAAGGAAGAUUAAUCCAGGAUGGCAUCAUGAGUUCACAUGUCCGCAUGAUUAAAGGUAUUUUCCGGUAGACGAUGGGGAUGCGUUCCAUUAGAUAGUAGGCGGGGUAACGGCCCACCUAGUCAACGAUGGAUAGGAGUUCUGAGAGGAAGGUCCCCCACAUUGGAACUGAGACACGGUCCAA
This 235-nucleotide ribosomal RNA is filed under the name uncultured bacterium. Its description in RNAcentral is "partial 16S ribosomal RNA". It matches the Rfam family "Bacterial small subunit ribosomal RNA", at positions 102 to 334 of the family's 1533-position model. The record is from RNAcentral.